Molecule: transfer RNA, 85 nt
Filed under: Felis catus (domestic cat)
Lineage: Eukaryota; Metazoa; Chordata; Mammalia; Carnivora; Felidae
Rfam family: tRNA
About the family: Transfer RNA (tRNA) molecules are approximately 80 nucleotides in length. Their secondary structure includes four short double-helical elements and three loops (D, anti-codon, and T loops).
Source: Rfam by way of RNAcentral
GCCUGGGUGGCUCAGUUGGUUGAGCGUCCGACUUCGGCUCAGGUCAUGAUCUGGCAGUUUGUGAGUUCGAGCCUCGCAUCGGGCU